GACGAACGCUGGCGGCGUGCUUAACACAUGCAAGUCGAACGGAAAGGCCCUGCUUUUGUGGGGUGCUCGAGUGGCGAACGGGUGAGUAACACGUGAGUAACCUGCCCUUGACUUUGGGAUAACUUCAGGAAACUGGGGCUAAUACCGGAUAGGAGCUCCUGCUGCAUGGUGGGGGUUGGAAAGUUUCGGCGGUUGGGGAUGGACUCGCGGCUUAUCAGCUUGUUGGUGGGGUAGUGGCUUACCAAGGCUUUGACGGGUAGCCGGCCUGAGAGGGUGACCGGCCACAUUGAGAAUGAGAUACGGCCCAGACUCCUACGGGAGGCAGCAGUGGGGAAUAUUGCACAAUGGGCGGAAGCCUGAUGCAGCAACGCCGCGUGCGGGAUGACGGCCUUCGGGUUGUAAACCGCUUUCGCCUGUGACGAAGCGUGAGUGACGGUAAUGGGUAAAGAAGCACCGGCUAACUACGUG
This 468-nucleotide ribosomal RNA is filed under the name uncultured bacterium. RNAcentral describes it as "partial 16S ribosomal RNA". It matches the Rfam family "Bacterial small subunit ribosomal RNA", at positions 28 to 507 of the family's 1533-position model. The record is from RNAcentral.